Picea glauca (white spruce) is the source of this 88-nucleotide non-coding RNA. NCBI's taxonomy places the organism in Eukaryota, Viridiplantae, Streptophyta, Pinopsida, Pinales, Pinaceae. The record is from Rfam.
GGAGAGAUGGUUGAGAGGACCAAAUAGGCAGAUUGAUAAUCCGUAGUAUGGAUUAUCCGUACCGAGGGUUCAAAUCCCUCUCUCUCCA